This 368-nucleotide ribosomal RNA is filed under the name uncultured organism. Its description in RNAcentral is "bacterial SSU rRNA". It matches the Rfam family "Bacterial small subunit ribosomal RNA", at positions 526 to 896 of the family's 1533-position model. The record is from RNAcentral.
CGGAGGGUGCAAGCGUUAUCCGGAUUCACUGGGUUUAAAGGGUGCGUAGGUGGUUUUGUAAGUCAGUGGUGAAAGCCCGGAGCUUAACUCCGGAACUGCCAUUGAUACUGCUUAACUUGAAUCAAGUAGAGGUGGAUGGAAUAAUACAUGUAGCGGUGAAAUGCUUAGAUAUGUAUUAGAACACCGAUUGCGAAGGCAGUUCACUAUGCUUGUAUUGACACUGAGGCACGAAAGCGUGGGGAUCAAACAGGAUUAGAUACCCUGGUAGUCCACGCCCUAAACUAUGUAAACUCAAUAUUAGCGAUAUACUGUUAGUGUCUAAGCGAAAGCGGUAAGUUUACCACCUGGGAAGUACGACCGCAAGGUUG